GUUUGCUUGCAAACUGGAGAUGGCGACCGGCGCACGGGUGAGUAACACGUAUCCAACCUGCCGAUAACUCGGGGAUAGCCUUUCGAAAGAAAGAUUAAUACCCGAUGGUAUAAUCAGACCGCAUGGUCUUGUUAUUAAAGAAUUUCGGUUAUCGAUGGGGAUGCGUUCCAUUAGGCAGUUGGUGAGGUAACGGCUCACCAAACCUUCGAUGGAUAGGGGUUCUGAGAGGAAGGUCCCCCACAUUGGAACUGAGACACGGUCCAAACUCCUACGGGAGGCAGCAGUGAGGAAUAUUGGUCAAUGGGCGCAGGCCUGAACCAGCCAAGUAGCGUGAAGGAUGACUGCCCUAUGGGUUGUAAACUUCUUUUAUAUGGGAAUAAAGUUUUCCACGUGUGGAAUUUUGUAUGUACCAUAUGAAUAAGGAUCGGCUAACUCCGUGCCAGCAGCCGCGGUAAUACGGAGGAUCCGAGCGUUAUCCGGAUUUAUUGGGUUUAAAGGGAGCGUAGGUGGACAGUUAAGUCAGUUGUGAAAGUUUGCGGCUCAACCGUAAAAUUGCAGUUGAUACUGGCUGUCUUGAGUACAGUAGAGGUGGGCGGAAUUCGUGGUGUAGCGGUGAAAUGCUUAGAUAUCACGAAGA
Molecule: ribosomal RNA, 637 nt
Filed under: uncultured Bacteroidales bacterium
Lineage: Bacteria; Pseudomonadati; Bacteroidota; Bacteroidia; Bacteroidales
Description: bacterial SSU rRNA
Rfam family: Bacterial small subunit ribosomal RNA
Source: RNAcentral